This 585-nucleotide ribosomal RNA is filed under the name Pichia kudriavzevii. RNAcentral describes it as "partial large subunit ribosomal RNA". It matches the Rfam family "Eukaryotic large subunit ribosomal RNA", at positions 36 to 605 of the family's 3401-position model. The record is from RNAcentral. Lineage: Eukaryota; Fungi; Ascomycota; Pichiomycetes; Pichiales; Pichiaceae.
UUGCAUAUCAAAAAGCGGAGGAAAAGAAACCAACAGGGAUUGCCUCAGUAGCGGCGAGUGAAGCGGCAAGAGCUCAGAUUUGAAAUCGUGCUUUGCGGCACGAGUUGUAGAUUGCAGGUUGGAGUCUGUGUGGAAGGCGGUGUCCAAGUCCCUUGGAACAGGGCGCCCAGGAGGGUGAGAGCCCCGUGGGAUGCCGGCGGAAGCAGUGAGGCCCUUCUGACGAGUCGAGUUGUUUGGGAAUGCAGCUCCAAGCGGGUGGUAAAUUCCAUCUAAGGCUAAAUACUGGCGAGAGACCGAUAGCGAACAAGUACUGUGAAGGAAAGAUGAAAAGCACUUUGAAAAGAGAGUGAAACAGCACGUGAAAUUGUUGAAAGGGAAGGGUAUUGCGCCCGACAUGGGGAUUGCGCACCGCUGCCUCUCGUGGGCGGCGCUCUGGGCUUUCCCUGGGCCAGCAUCGGUUCUUGCUGCAGGAGAAGGGGUUCUGGAACGUGGCUCUUCGGAGUGUUAUAGCCAGGGCCAGAUGCUGCGUGCGGGGACCGAGGACUGCGGCCGUGUAGUCACGGACGGCAUGCCUUACCGCACGGG